This 406-nucleotide ribosomal RNA is filed under the name uncultured bacterium. RNAcentral's name for it is "partial 16S ribosomal RNA". It matches the Rfam family "Bacterial small subunit ribosomal RNA", at positions 30 to 526 of the family's 1533-position model. The record is from RNAcentral.
AUUGAACGCUGGCGGCAGGCCUAACACAUGCAAGUCGAACGAGUGGCGGACGGGUGAGUAAUGUCUGGGAAACUGCCUGAUGGAGGGGGAUAACUACUGGAAACGGUAGCUAAUACCGCAUACCAUCCGGUGUGCCCAGAUGGGAUUAGCUAGUUGGUGGGGUAACGGCUCACCAAGGCGACGAUCCCUAGCUGGUCUGAGAGGAUGAGCAGCCACACUGUAACUGAGACACGGUCCGGACUCCAACGGGAGGCAGCAGUGGGGAAUAUUGCACACUGGGCGCAAGCCUAAUGCAGCCAUGCCGCGUGUAUGAAGAAGGCCUUCGGGUUUUAAAGUACUUUCAGCGUGGAGGCGUUACCCGCAGAAGAAGCACCGGCUAACUCCGUGCCAGCAGCCGCGGUAAUUC